Molecule: ribosomal RNA, 879 nt
Filed under: uncultured bacterium
Lineage: Bacteria
Description: bacterial SSU rRNA
Rfam family: Bacterial small subunit ribosomal RNA
Source: RNAcentral
GGCUUACACAUGCAAGUCGAGGGGCAGCAUUUCAGUUUGCUUGCAAACUGGAGAUGGCGACCGGCGCACGGGUGAGUAACACGUAUCCAACCUGCCGAUAACUCGGGGAUAGCCUUUCGAAAGAAAGAUUAAUACCCGAUAGUAUAAUUAGACCGCAUGGUCUUAUUAUUAAAGAAUUUCGGUUAUCGAUGGGGAUGCGUUCCAUUAGGCAGUUGGUGAGGUAACGGCUCACCAAACCUUCGAUGGAUAGGGGUUCUGAGAGGAAGGUCCCCCACAUUGGAACUGAGACACGGUCCAAACUCCUACGGGAGGCAGCAGUGAGGAAUAUUGGUCAAUGGGCGCAGGCCUGAACCAGCCAAGUAGCGUGAAGGAUGACUGCCCUAUGGGUUGUAAACUUCUUUUAUAUGGGAAUAAAGUUUUCCACGUGUGGAAUUUUGUAUGUACCAUAUGAAUAAGGAUCGGCUAACUCCGUGCCAGCAGCCGCGGUAAUACGGAGGAUCCGAGCGUUAUCCGGAUUUAUUGGGUUUAAAGGGAGCGUAGGUGGACAGUUAAGUCAGUUGUGAAAGUUUGCGGCUCAACCGUAAAAUUGCAGUUGAUACUGGCUGUCUUGAGUACAGUAGAGGUGGGCGGAAUUCGUGGUGUAGCGGUGAAAUGCUUAGAUAUCACGAAGAACUCCGAUUGCGAAGGCAGCUCACUGGACUGCAACUGACACUGAUGCUCGAAAGUGUGGGUAUCAAACAGGAUUAGAUACCCUGGUAGUCCACACAGUAAACGAUGAAUACUCGCUGUUUGCGAUAUACAGUAAGCGGCCAAGCGAAAGCAUUAAGUAUUCCACCUGGGGAGUACGCCGGCAACGGUGAAACUCAAAGGAAUUGACGG